AAUUCCGGUUGAUCCUGCCGGAGGUUACUGCUAUUAGAGUUCGACUAAGCCAUGCAAGUACUUUGGAACUUCGGUUCUGAAGUGCGAACGGCUCAGUAAUAUAUAACUAACCUGCCCUUAGGUCUUCUAUAAUCUCGGGAAACUGAGGAUAAAAGAAGAUAGGAUAAGUGUUCUGGAAAGAGCUUAUCCAAACUAAGGAUGGGGUUAUACCUGAUUAGGUUGUUGCCGGGGUAAAGUCCCGACAAGCCUAUAAUCAGUACGGGUUGUGAGAGCAAUAGCCCGGAGAUGGAUUCUGAGACAAGAAUCCAGGCCCUACGGGGCGCAGCAGGCGCGAAACCUUUACAAUGCACGCAAGUGUGAUAAGGGAACUCUAAGUGUUAUUCCAUAUCGGAAUAACUUUUGUUAAGUCCAAACAGCUUAACGAAUAAGUGGUGGGUAAUACGGGUGGCAGCCGCCGCGGUAAUACCCGAGCCACAAGUGGUAACCACUUUUAUUGGGUUUAAAGCAUCCGUAGCCGGUCUAGCAAGUUUCUGGUUAAAUUUCCUAUUAACUGGGAAAAUGCCAGAAAUACUGCUAGACUAGAGAUUGGGAGAGGUUAGAGGUACUCUCGGGGUAGGGGUGAAAUCCUUUGAUCCUGAGGGGACCACCAAUGGCGAAGGCAUCUAACCAGAACAACUCUGACGGUGAGGGAUGAAAGCUAGGGGAGCGAUCCGGAUUAGAUUGAACCCUUUCUCUUAAAAGAGAAAGUUUUCAUAAGAAAAAAUGAAUUUGACAGCGAAUCUCUCGGUUCCUAAAUACCCGGGUAGUCCUAGCCGUAAACGAUGCCCGCUUGGUGUUGGCUGGUUUGUAGAAAUCAGCCAGUUCCGAAGGGAAACCAUUAAGCGGGCCACCUGGGGAGUACGUCCGCAAGGAUGAAUCUGCAGUAUGACAGAAGUGUUAUGCUGUAAGCAUCUAACUUAAAGGAAUUGGCGGGGGAGUACAUAAGGGGUGACGCGUGCGGUUCAAUUGGACUCAACACCGAGAAUCUUACUAGGGAAGACAGCUGAAUGAAGGUCAGUUUAAAGAACUUACCUGACUAGCUGAGAGGAGUUGCAUGGCCGUCGUCAGCUCGUGUUGUGAAAUGUCCAGUUAAGUCUGGCAACGAGCGAGACCCACGCUUUUAGUUGCUAUCUGCUUUGGCAGAGCACUCUAAAAGGACUGCCUGCGCAAGCAGGAGGAAGGAGUGGGCGACGGCAGGUCGGUACGGCCCGAACUUCCUAGGCUACACGCGCGCGGCAAUGGUUGAGACAGAGAGUUGCAAUCUCGAAAGAGAAAGCUAAUCCCUAAACUCAACCUUAGUUCAGAUCGGGGACUGAAACUCGUCCCCGUGAAGAUGGAAUCCCUAGUAAUCGAACGUCAUCAUCGUUCGAUGAAUCUAUCCCUGCUCCUUGCACACACUGCCCGUCAAGCCAUCUGAAUAGGGUCUUGAGGGAGCUUCCCCGAUUUCGGGGAAUCAACCUUGGAUUCUGUAAGGAGGGCUAAGUCGUAACAAGGUAGCCGUACGGGAACGUGCGGCUGGAUCACCU
This is a ribosomal RNA of 1565 nucleotides. It matches the Rfam family "Archaeal small subunit ribosomal RNA".